GAGAGAAGAGACCUGAGCAACAAAAGCCCAUUUAUAUGGGUGUGAGGAACGUACAUCGGUUUGCCUAUCAAUGGGCGUGAAUGCUAGAUUGGUGAGCCUAUCCCGGGAUGUAUCAUCAGGAAGUUUGUGAGCGGCAUCGUUUCUGUUGCACUACUGUGGAAGAUCAAAAGGCAGCAAACUACCAAUGAAGACCAAAAUAUUAGGAACUGCAUAAGCUCCAUUACGAAGACUGGACGCAAGGGGUGGCGAGAAUGAUACUAGGCAAUUAUGAUAGCAAAACACUCUAACAUGAAUAUAAAGAUAUAGUUCCGUUUGGAUCGUGUAUUUUAAUCUCUGUUCUCUUCUUCAUAAGGUGGGCCCGGAAGAUAAAAACCCCGCCCUUUC
RNAcentral lists this long non-coding RNA (384 nucleotides) under Setaria viridis. RNAcentral describes it as "long non-coding RNA (SVIR_LNC000243)". Lineage: Eukaryota; Viridiplantae; Streptophyta; Magnoliopsida; Poales; Poaceae. The record is from RNAcentral.